This 492-nucleotide ribosomal RNA is filed under the name uncultured bacterium. RNAcentral's name for it is "partial 16S ribosomal RNA". It matches the Rfam family "Bacterial small subunit ribosomal RNA", at positions 29 to 507 of the family's 1533-position model. The record is from RNAcentral.
AUUGAACGCUGGCGGCAUGCUUUACACAUGCAAGUCGAACGGUAACAGGCCUUCGGGUGCUGGCGAGUGGCGCACGGGUGAGUAAUGCAUCGGAACGUACCCAGAGGUGGGGGAUAACGCAGCGAAAGCUGUGCUAAUACCGCAUGUGAUCUGAGGAUGAAAGCGGGGGACCGAGCAGCAAUGUUUGGCCUCGCGCCUUUGGAGCGGCCGAUGUCGGAUUAGCUAGUUGGUGGGGUAAAGGCCUACCAAGGCGACGAUCCGUAGCUGGUCUGAGAGGACGACCAGCCACACUGGGACUGAGACACGGCCCAGACUCCUACGGGAGGCAGCAGUGGGGAAUUUUGGACAAUGGGCGCAAGCCUGAUCCAGCAAUGCCGCGUGCGGGAAGAAGGCCUUCGGGUUGUAAACCGCUUUUGGCAGGAACGAAACGGUGUCCGCUAAUACCGGGCGCUAAUGACGGUACCUGCAGAAUAAGCACCGGCUAACUACGUG